UGGGGAAUAUUGGACAAUGGGGGAAACCCUGAUCCAGCCAUGCCGCGUGAGUGAUGAAGGCCUUAGGGUUGUAAAGCUCUUUCGCUAGGGAAGAUAAUGACGGUACCUAGUAAAGAAGCCCCGGCUAACUUCGUGCCAGCAGCCGCGGUAAUACGAAGGGGGCUAGCGUUGUUCGGAAUUACUGGGCGUAAAGCGCGCGUAGGCGGGUCUUUAAGUCAGGGGUGAAAUCCCGGGGCUCAACCUCGGAAUUGCCUCUGAUACUGGAGAUCUUGAGUUCGAGAGAGGUGAGUGGAACUCCGAGUGUAGAGGUGAAAUUCGUAGAUAUUCGGAAGAACACCAGUGGCGAAGGCGGCUCACUGGCUCGAUACUGACGCUGAGGUGCGAAAGCGUGGGGAGCAAACAGGAUUAGAUACCCGCGUAGUCC
Molecule: ribosomal RNA, 424 nt
Filed under: uncultured prokaryote
Description: bacterial SSU rRNA
Rfam family: Bacterial small subunit ribosomal RNA
Source: RNAcentral